This 329-nucleotide ribosomal RNA is filed under the name uncultured eukaryote. RNAcentral's name for it is "partial 18S ribosomal RNA". It matches the Rfam family "Eukaryotic small subunit ribosomal RNA", at positions 1470 to 1796 of the family's 1831-position model. The record is from RNAcentral.
CCCUUAGAUGUUCUGGGCCGCACGCGCGCUACACUGAUGCAUUCAACGAGUCUAAAACCUGCUCUGAUAGGGGUGGGUAAUCUUUUGAAUGUGCAUCGUGAUUGGGAUAGAUGAUUGCAAUUUUUCAUCUUCAACGAGGAAUGCCUAGUAAACGCAAGUCAUCGGCUUGCAUUGAUUACGUCCCUGCCCUUUGUACACACCGCCCGUCGCUCCUACCGAUUGAAUGAUCCGAUGAAUAUCAUGGAUUGAGGAUGCAAGUAGGUUAGCCUAUCUUCAUCUUCGAGAAGUGAAGUAAAUCUUAUCAUUUAGAGGAAGGAGAAGUCGUAACA